AGUUGCGCUUUGACAUUGAGCACACCUGUGCCACGUAAUUAUGUCGGCGUGUUUGUGGCUUUAUUAAAAAAAAGCACAGUUGAGUGGGGCACUUUGAUUCCUUUCUUAUCUGUAGGCUGGGUGGCUAGAAAAGGGAGGUGUGCAUGAACGCAGGUAGCAUAAAGUGACAAUAGUUUAAUCCCGUUUGUGAGGUGCGGCCAAAGAGCGCUAGCUGCUGUUUCGUACCUGUUUUGUAUAUGCUUUUACACACCGUUUCAUAAACCCGAAUUAGCUUGUUGGUUUACAGUUUGGACCAAGCGGACGUCGCGGUUGCAAACCAUUGCAUUAAUUACAUUUUAUUUAUUUUAUUUUAAUAAAAUAUAAAAUUAUUUUAUAUAUUA
This is a long non-coding RNA of Silurus meridionalis, 380 nucleotides long. RefSeq lists it as uncharacterized. The transcript is spliced from 3 exons. The record is from RefSeq and is a predicted model, not a curated record. Lineage: Eukaryota; Metazoa; Chordata; Actinopteri; Siluriformes; Siluridae.